AUUUAAUAUAAAACAGUUUACACAUUGUCCCUAAAAUUUUGACACUUGAGAUGUCUACUUAAUGUGCUUUAUGGAGAUCUUUGUACAGUGUUGUGGAUCUGGCAGACGAUGUAGAACAGGUGUUUGCCUACCGCGGUUAUGCGGUUGCACGGUAGGUAAGAAUGGCAAAGUGAGAAGCAGAUCAACACAAUGGAAAAAGAGAGAGACAGACAUUGUAUGGUUUGUUGGGAAACCUUGGAUCUUUAUUGAGAAAGAGAGUGAAUAUAAACAACAUGCUCUGACAAUGGAGGACAAAUACCUGGAUGUAAAUUUGACAAGUCCUAAUAAACUUAAGGUUGAUCGGCAGCUGUCGUUAUUUUAAAUAGUCUCUAGAAAAAUUUUAAAUAGUCUCUAGUCUUUUAAUAGUCCCUAGUCUUUUCAUAGUCCCAAAGAAAAUUAACAGUCUUUAAUCCAAAUAGAUGAACAAUUAGAAUGACACUUAUUGAGGAGCAGUGACUGCUGAUUCUACCCAAUGAUUAGGUGGGAAUGGAAAAGGAAAUUGUUGAGAAGGCUGUUAUGGUCUUUCUUUGCACACUUUGUCACUGGUUACUACACAGCUAUAACGAUGUUGCACAAAGAAAGAUAUUAAUAAUUCUAGGACUGACGUAUUGGACUUGUUGAAAGUCUGAUGACACAACCUAUAACCAGCCAGACGAACUCUGGGAAUCCACUCUAUGAUUCAAUGGCUAGGCAAAUCACUGUCAAAGACGACCAACUCCUUAUAUGUAUAUCCCUUCCUAUAAAGGGAUAUAUAUAUAUAUAUCCUUUUUUCUUUUCCCCCUUCCCUUUUUGACAAAC
This 837-nucleotide long non-coding RNA is filed under the name Androctonus crassicauda. The record is from RNAcentral. Lineage: Eukaryota; Metazoa; Arthropoda; Arachnida; Scorpiones; Buthidae.